Molecule: long non-coding RNA, 297 nt
Filed under: Bos indicus x Bos taurus (hybrid cattle)
Lineage: Eukaryota; Metazoa; Chordata; Mammalia; Artiodactyla; Bovidae
Description: lncRNA (ENSBIXG00000018415.1)
Source: RNAcentral
AUGUCUCUUGCAUCUCCUGCAUUGGCAGGUGGGUUCUUUACCACUGCACCACCUAGGAAGCUGCCAAGUGAAUAUAGCUAUGUCCAAGGGUCCACCAUGCACCUGCUAUCUGCCUGGCGUGGUCGGGACCCUGAGAACGCAGCGAACAAGAUAGUCAGGGUGACACAGGGUGGAGAGACAACAGACAAAUCACCAGCUCUAAAGCAUGUUGGCAGAGCUAAGGGCUAUGACCUUGAUUGGUUGACUUCUACAGAAGGCUUCGCAGAGUGUUCUACAGACCGUGGUUUGCCUGCCUGA